CGGCGAGUGAAGCGGCAACAGCUCAAAUUUGAAAUCUGGCGUCUUUGGCGUCCGAGUUGUAAUUUGCAGAGGGCGCUUUGGCAUUGGCAGCGGUCCAAGUUCCUUGGAACAGGACGUCACAGAGGGUGAGAAUCCCGUACGUGGUCGCUAGCCUUUACCGUGUAAAGCCCCUUCGACGAGUCGAGUUGUUUGGGAAUGCAGCUCUAAAUGGGAGGUAAAUUUCUUCUAAAGCUAAAUACUGGCCAGAGACCGAUAGCGCACAAGUAGAGUGAUCGAAAGAUGAAAAGCACUUUGGAAAGAGAGUUAAAAAGCACGUGAAAUUGUUGAAAGGGAAGCGCUUGCAGCCAGACUUGCCUGUAGUUGCUCAUCCGGGUUUCUACCCGGUGCACUCUUCUACGGGCAGGCCAGCAUCAGUUUGGGCGGUUGGAUAAAGGUCUCUGUCAUGUACCUCCCUUCGGGGAGAUCUUAUAGGGGAGACGACAUGCAACCAGCCUGGACUGAGGUCCGCGCAUCUGCUAGGAUGCUGGCGUAAUGGCUGUAAGCGGCCCGUCUUGAAACACGGACCAAGGAGUCUAACAUCUAUGCGAGUGUUUGGGUGUCAAGCCCGAGCGCGUAAUGAAAGUGAACGGAGGUGGGAACCUUUCGGGGUGCACCAUCGACCGAUCCUGAUGUCUUCGGAUGGAUUUGAGUAAGAGCAUA
RNAcentral lists this ribosomal RNA (699 nucleotides) under Pleosporales sp. CM37. RNAcentral's name for it is "eukaryotic LSU rRNA". It matches the Rfam family "Eukaryotic large subunit ribosomal RNA", at positions 87 to 804 of the family's 3401-position model. RNAcentral also lists the same sequence under 1 other name. Lineage: Eukaryota; Fungi; Ascomycota; Dothideomycetes; Pleosporales. The record is from RNAcentral.